Molecule: ribosomal RNA, 468 nt
Filed under: uncultured bacterium
Lineage: Bacteria
Description: partial 16S ribosomal RNA
Rfam family: Bacterial small subunit ribosomal RNA
Source: RNAcentral
GACGAACGCUGGCGGCGUGCUUAACACAUGCAAGUCGAACGGAAAGGCCCUGCUUUUGUGGGGUGCUCGAUUGGCGAACGGGUGAGUAACACGUGAGUAACCUGCCCUUGACUUUGGGAUAACUUCAGGAAACUGGGGCUAAUACCGGAUAGGAGCUCCUGCUGCAUGGUGGGGGUUGGAAAGUUUCGGCGUUUGGGGAUGGACUCGCGGCUUAUCAGCUUGUUGGUGGGGUAGUGGCUUACCAAGGCUUUGACGGGUAGCCGGCCUGAGAGGGUGACCGGCCACAUUGGGACUGAGAUACGGACCAGACUCCUACGGGAGGCAGCAGUGGGGAAUAUUGCACAAUGGGCGGAAGCCUGAUGCAGCAACGCCGCGUGCGGGAUGACGGCCUUCGGGUUGUAAACCGCUUUCGCCUGUGACGACGCGUGAGUGACGGUAAUGGGUAAAGAAGCACCGGCUAACUACGUG